RNAcentral lists this ribosomal RNA (566 nucleotides) under Phoma sp. LH128. Its description in RNAcentral is "eukaryotic LSU rRNA". The stretch from base 196 to 349 matches the Rfam family "5.8S ribosomal RNA". Lineage: Eukaryota; Fungi; Ascomycota; Dothideomycetes; Pleosporales; Didymellaceae. The record is from RNAcentral.
UGGAAGUAAAAGUCGUAACAAGGUUUCCGUAGGUGAACCUGCGGAAGGAUCAUUACCUAGAGUUGCGGGCUUUGCCUGCCAUCUCUUACCCAUGUCUUUUGAGUACCUUACGUUUCCUCGGCGGGUCCGCCCGCCGACUGGACAAUUUAAACCACUUGCAGUUGCAAUCAGCGUCUGAAAAAACUUAAUAGUUACAACUUUCAACAACGGAUCUCUUGGUUCUGGCAUCGAUGAAGAACGCAGCGAAAUGCGAUAAGUAGUGUGAAUUGCAGAAUUCAGUGAAUCAUCGAAUCUUUGAACGCACAUUGCGCCCCUUGGUAUUCCAUGGGGCAUGCCUGUUCGAGCGUCAUUUGUACCUUCAAGCCUUGCUUGGUGUUGGGUGUUUGUCUCGCCUCUGCGCGUAGACUCGCCUCAAAACAAUUGGCAGCCGGCGUAUUGAUUUCGGAGCGCAGUACAUCUCGCGCUUUGCACUCAGAACGACGACGUCCAAAAGUACAUUUUUACACUCUUGACCUCGGAUCAGGUAGGGAUACCCGCUGAACUUAAGCAUAUCAAUAAGCGGAGGA